AGAGUUUGAUCCUGGCUCAGAUUGAACGCUGGCGGCAUGCCUAACACAUGCAAGUCGAACGUAACAGGUCUUCGGUAUGCUGACGAGUGGCGAACGGGUGAGUAAUGCAUCGGAACGUAUCCUUGAGUGGGGGAGUAACGCAGCGAAAGUUAGUGCUAAUACCGCAUAAGCUCUGAGGAGGAAAGCGGGGGACCGGAAAGGCCUCGCGCUGAAGGAGCGGCCGAUGUCCGAUUAGCUAGUUGGUGAGGUAAAGGCUUACCAAGGCGACGAUCGGUAGCUGGUCUGAGAGGAUGAUCAGCCACACUGGGACUGAGACACGGCCCAGACUCCUACGGGAGGCGAC
Molecule: ribosomal RNA, 343 nt
Filed under: uncultured prokaryote
Description: bacterial SSU rRNA
Rfam family: Bacterial small subunit ribosomal RNA
Source: RNAcentral